Molecule: ribosomal RNA, 433 nt
Filed under: uncultured bacterium
Lineage: Bacteria
Description: partial 16S ribosomal RNA
Rfam family: Bacterial small subunit ribosomal RNA
Source: RNAcentral
AACGAACGCUGGCGGCAGGCUUAACACAUGCAAGUCGAACGGAUCCUUCGGGAUUAGUGGCAGACGGGUGAGUAACGCGUGGGAACGUGCCCUUUGCUACGGAAUAACUCAGGGAAACUUGAGCUAAUACCGUAUGUGCCCUACGGGGGAAAGAUUUAUCGGCAAAGGAUCGGCCCGCGUUGGAUUAGCUAGUUGGUGGGGUAAUGGCCUACCAAGGCGACGAUCCAUAGCUGGUCUGAGAGGAUGAUCAGCCACACUGGGACUGAGACACGGCCCAGACUCCUACGGGAGGCAGCAGUGGGGAAUAUUGGACAAUGGGCGCAAGCCUGAUCCAGCCAUGCCGCGUGAGUGAUGAAGGUCUUAGGAUUGUAAAGCUCUUUCACCGGUGAAGAUAAUGACGGUAGCCGGAGAAGAAGCCCCGGCUAACUUCGUG